UGGGGAAUAUUGCACAAUGGGCGCAAGCCUGAUGCAGCCACGCCGCGUGAACGAUGAAGGUCUUCGGUUCGUAAAGUUCUGUUGCAGGGGAAGAUAAUGACGGUACCCUGUGAGGAAGCCCCGGCUAACUACGUGCCAGCAGCCGCGGUAAUACGUAGGGGGCUAGCGUUAUCCGGAUUUACUGGGCGUAAAGGGUGCGUAGGUGGUCUUUCAAGUCGGUGGUUAAAGGCUACGGCUCAACCGUAGUUAGCCUCCGAAACUGGAAGACUUGAGUGCAGGAGAGGAAAGUGGAAUUCCCAGUGUAGCGGUGAAAUGCGUAGAUAUUGGGAGGAACACCAGUAGCGAAGGCGGCUUUCUGGACUGCAACUGACACUGAGGCACGAAAGCGUGGGUAGCAAACAGG
RNAcentral lists this ribosomal RNA (403 nucleotides) under Verrucomicrobiota bacterium. Its description in RNAcentral is "Verrucomicrobia bacterium partial 16S ribosomal RNA". It matches the Rfam family "Bacterial small subunit ribosomal RNA", at positions 355 to 776 of the family's 1533-position model. Lineage: Bacteria; Pseudomonadati; Verrucomicrobiota. The record is from RNAcentral.